This 72-nucleotide transfer RNA is filed under the name Prevotellaceae bacterium. RNAcentral's name for it is "tRNA-Thr". It matches the Rfam family "tRNA". From Rfam's summary of the family: Transfer RNA (tRNA) molecules are approximately 80 nucleotides in length. Their secondary structure includes four short double-helical elements and three loops (D, anti-codon, and T loops). Further hydrogen bonds mediate the characteristic L-shaped molecular structure. tRNAs have two regions of fundamental functional importance: the anti-codon, which is responsible for specific mRNA codon recognition, and the 3' end, to which the tRNAs corresponding amino acid is attached (by aminoacyl-tRNA synthetases). tRNAs cope with the degeneracy of the genetic code in two manners: having more than one tRNA (with a specific anti-codon) for a particular amino acid; and 'wobble' base-pairing, i.e. permitting non-standard base-pairing at the 3rd anti-codon position. The record is from RNAcentral. Lineage: Bacteria; Pseudomonadati; Bacteroidota; Bacteroidia; Bacteroidales; Prevotellaceae.
GCCUACGUAGCUCAGGGGUAGAGCACUUCCUUGGUAAGGAAGAGGUCAUGGGUUCAAUUCCCAUCGUCGGCU